Molecule: non-coding RNA, 174 nt
Filed under: Pongo abelii (Sumatran orangutan)
Lineage: Eukaryota; Metazoa; Chordata; Mammalia; Primates; Hominidae
Source: RNAcentral
GCAAGACUGUGUGGCCUUGACAUGGGCCAGGGAACAGGCCACGUCCCCAGGCAUAGUCCCGGCUGAGGACACCACUGUUGGCACAGACGGUGCAGCUGAGAUACUAGCACACCUGGCCUUCAAGGCCUAGGUCUUUAGACAAUAACUUAACUCUUUUGACCAAUUGUCAAUUGG